UACGGAGGAUGCAAGCGUUAUCCGGAUUCACUGGGUUUAAAGGGUGAGUAGGCGGACUGAUAAGUCAGUGGUGAAAGACUGUAGCUUAACUAUAGAAAUGCCAUUGAUACUAUCGGCCUUGAGUACAGUUGAGGCAGGCGGAAUGUGCAGUGUAGCGGUGAAAUGCUUAGAUAUUGCACAGAACACCAAUUGCGAAGGCAGCUUGCUAAGCUGUUACUGACGCUGAGUCACGAAAGCGUGGGGAUCAAACAGG
RNAcentral lists this ribosomal RNA (253 nucleotides) under uncultured bacterium. RNAcentral describes it as "partial 16S ribosomal RNA". It matches the Rfam family "Bacterial small subunit ribosomal RNA", at positions 524 to 776 of the family's 1533-position model. The record is from RNAcentral.